CCCGGGCGCGAAGCGGCCGCUGCGGCCUGUCCCGGCCCGCCGAGCCGAGCCGAGCCGAGCCGAGCCGAGCCGAGCCGAGCCGAGCGGGGCGGCCUCAGCCUCAGCCUCGGCCUCGGCGCCUUCCUGCCGGGCCCGGGGGUCGCGGGGCCGCUCGGGAGCCCGGGGCGUUUUCUCUGCUGACACCGCUGAGAGGAUUUCUGCCCGCUUUGGACAGACUGCAGGCUGUGCUGAUUGAUCAGAMUACAUCCUCCUCACUAACCAGAAUCUACGUUAGAAAAGUCUCAGGUAACCACUGAGGUACUUCUGUAAAAUUUUCUUGAAACACUUGGUCAAAACUUCUGCUGAAGACAGACCUAACAGGACAGAAGUUCUUCUGUUGCCCCGUGGUACACCUAUGAAG
RNAcentral lists this long non-coding RNA (400 nucleotides) under Dromaius novaehollandiae (emu). Its description in RNAcentral is "lncRNA (ENSDNVG00000007739.1)". Lineage: Eukaryota; Metazoa; Chordata; Aves; Casuariiformes; Dromaiidae. The record is from RNAcentral.